UGGGUGUUUGCCAGGUGAGGAUGUGCGUCU
RNAcentral lists this non-coding RNA (30 nucleotides) under Mus musculus (house mouse). The record is from RNAcentral. Lineage: Eukaryota; Metazoa; Chordata; Mammalia; Rodentia; Muridae.